This 578-nucleotide long non-coding RNA is filed under the name Otus sunia (Oriental scops-owl). RNAcentral describes it as "lncRNA (ENSOSUG00000002296.1)". Lineage: Eukaryota; Metazoa; Chordata; Aves; Strigiformes; Strigidae. The record is from RNAcentral.
CAGGAGCUGGGCGCCCAUGGCCUGGCACUGAGCCCCCUGCCUCCUCCCUGCCUCCUCCCUGCCUCCGGGCCGCGCACCCAGGGAAGCCACAGGAGCUACAGGAAGAUGGCAGGCCUGCCCGCCGCCCCGCCGGCGUUGAGGAGGUGGCUGGGGUUCGGGCUCUUCGUGCUGCUCUGCCUUAGUUUAGGUCCCCGUCAGAGGACUGCAAGGGCUGUCCCCCGUCCUUCUCCGAGGACCUGCUUCAAAGCUCACUGGAGUCCACAGGUCCCUCCUAACCUCAAGAGGCUUGGGAUGAGUCUUCUCAGCUGUGUGAAAUGUUAAUCUUGAAACCACACAAAACUUACUUCUGAGCUGGGGUUCAUUGUGGGUGCAAAAUAAUUUGUGCUUAUUGGCAAUUUGAGUGUUUCAUCACAGCUAAUGAUACUCUGGAGCAAACCUGGGCUGAACAGAGCCUUUGAUUAAAGAUUGAGUGAUGCAAAAUUAGGAGUGUUUCAUGCUGAUGUUGUGAAACUGGGAGAUAUUUGAUGCUGAGUCUCAUUUUGAGUUUCGGUCUCAGAAUCUUAAAACGAAACUCAGAG